This is a long non-coding RNA of Alexandromys fortis (reed vole), 3547 nucleotides long. RefSeq lists it as uncharacterized. The record is from RefSeq and is a predicted model, not a curated record. NCBI's taxonomy places the organism in Eukaryota, Metazoa, Chordata, Mammalia, Rodentia, Cricetidae. The transcript has 5 exons.
AGAAAAGAGAUCUUAGCACAAAUUUUCCUGUUUUCUAAAAUGAAAUUGCCCCUGCCCCCCACAGACCCCCUGCUCUUGGUCCUGUGAUACCGUGCUCAUCUGAGUUGUUUCAAGGAUAGGUGUGAUUUCACCACUCGAGUAGGAACUGGGAUCUGUUUCUCAGAGGACACCUCCUUUGAGUUUUAAUAUCAUCUUCCAUUUCUAGAGAUGGAGUGCUAGGAAGGGGUACCUGAAUUGUAUCCAGUACUUCUGAGUAGACCCAGGUCUGAGUAGACUCACUGUCUAUCCUAACUUAGGACUGUCUUCUCUCAAUGCUGUAGAGGUAACUAUGGAGUUAACGGAAUAUUCUGUAUUGAACGCACAGGGUGAUGGGGACUGGAAACUUUUACCUAUGAGUGAGCUGACGUGAAAAUGGUGAGAGCUGGGCAUAGGCAGCUGCAGGACAAGCACUGGAGUAAACUCUGCAUUCCCUAACUUGACAGGUACACAGAUACGACAGAAGAAUUAAAGAUCAUUGUGUAAAUGCUCCUGCUCUGAAACUGAGCUGACGCAGGUGCUAAUGUUGGCUUUGUCAUUUUUCCAGGUACAUGGGUGUAGACAAUUACUCAGCGUCUUCAUUUCUCGGGGACCAGGUGAACUGUACCUGAAUGCAGAGAGCUGUGCAAAUAAAUACGAUGAAUGCAAAUUAGCAUCAUCUAAGUACUCAACGAAUGUUAGUGAUGAAUGCCUCCAGACUUAUCUCAUCCUGUCUCCAUAGGAGGAACUCAGUGUAGGAUGGACAAGAAUUGGCAGGGCCUUAAAUCAUUUUAAGUGUAGCCUGAUGACCUGAGGUCUCCAUCCUCAGAGCCUACUUUGUGGAAGGAGAGAACUAACUUUGGCAAGCUGUCCUCUGAUCUACACAUGUAUGUGGUAGUAGAGAGACAGACAGACACACACACACACACAUUAAACCUACAGCCAACACAUUUUUGACUAGAAUGAAUUUCUGAUUAUUAAAGUUAAAAGACAGAAUGCAAACGAAAGUGUGCAAGAGUGUAAGAUGGGCUGAGGCUGGGCUCUGGCCUGCUGUCUUUACUGUUUAGAGUUUCAACAUUCUUCCCCUCACUCCUUCUGUACUCAGUCAACAGGUCCUCUAAAUACCUGAGGUAAUUUCCCCCAUGAUUCGUCUCAGUAAGUAACAGUAACAAUGUGUCUUUUCCUAUAGAGAAAGAGACAGGAGUCAAGUAAUCAGCUUAAUUUUACCUUCUCACAACUCAAACCCAGAUACCCAAUAACCAUCUCUUCAACAAAUUUGACUUGUUUAAGAGGAGCAGCCUGAUAAUGGUUCAUAUGCACCAUGAGGAAGAAAGAUAGUUUUCCCAUCCUAAGCAGAUUCCAGACAGCAGCGCACAGCUGGCUGAGUGCACGAAGAAGAGCCUGGUGCUGAGCCCUAGAAUAGCACUGCUUCUGUGCUCUUUUGCUUGGGCUCCUGAUUUGAAAAAAAGCUCCUUGAGGGGUUUGAUGUAAAGUGAGUUUUCAGUAUGUCACAAAUCACUUCCUGCCUUCCUUCAGGAUCCAUUGGACUUGCUGGGUUGUGUAAAUUCAAACAGCUACCCACUUCUUUGGCAGCAAUGCAGAGAUGCAGGAUAUGGAACAUGUGAAAUCUAGCCAUCAAAUGUGUCUGGGAGUAAAGCUUUCUCUUUGUCUCUCUGGUGAUGGUCUAACAGUGGCGUAUUUAUUAGAAGCACUGUGGGGUUAAGAAGCACUAGGCUAAUUUUUCAGGUUCACUUUAGUGAAGUGGAAGAAGUACGAGACUUGCCUGGCUUUAGUGGAGACCCACUCAGACCAACUAAAGACUGUAUUUCUUGAAAGCUACCUGAACACACUUCAUACUCAAGUGUGACAAGAACACCUGGACUGUGAGUGAUUUUGCAGAGUGAGGCCCACUGCACAGAUUCAUCUGUCCCCUUUUAUUACUAGUGUUCCUUCUAAUGUUCUAAAGAAGUGAACCAUAUGACUAUUCUACAGACAGUUGGGCAUAUAAGAGGAGGACUUAGCAAUGAAAAUAAAACCUCACCCAUGCAUUUGGCACCAGUUAGUAACAAUUAUUAUAGAUUCAGGUCAGAGGGCCCUUUUCCAGUACACUUAGGACUCUCCCUAAGAGGGAAGCACAGUAUUAGAACCAGUCAGAAGGCUCUGUAUCAAUUGUCCUGACUGAAUACAUUCAGUGGGUUAGUAACAUCAGGUCCUUGUUUCUUUGUGUUAUCCAUAAACUUCUUUACUUGUUUUGUAUCCUAUUUAGAUACUAUAUGCAAUUCUUACCUCUAUAACAAAAUACUAAGAUUUUUGAGGACAAAGAUUCUACCUCAUGUUCAAGUCUACCAACACACACACAAACACAUGCACACACACACACACACACACAGAGAGAGAGAGAGAGAGAGAGAGAGAGAGAGAGAGAGAGAGAGAGUGAAUGAAUGAAUGAAUACAUGAUAGGUCAUGGAUAGACUUACAUAAAAUGAGUGAUCUGAAUAAUAGCACACAAUUUUAAUCAAGUGUUAUAAAGAAUAUUGUUUGUUUAGCCAAUCAUUGUUUUAAUUCCCCUAUUGAUACACUGGUACCAAAUAUUCACUGUUUUUCACAAUCAUUUGUUAAAUGUAUACUUAUUAGACAGACAUCCUUUACCUUACAUACUGACAUUUAUUACAGGUUAAAUGUAUACUUAUUAGACAGACAUCCUUUACCUUACAUACUGACAUUUAUUACAGGUCUUGGAGCCAAGUUGGCAACAAGGAGGCUCUCUUCUGUUCUGUUCCUGUAUGAAUUCAGAGUGAGGGCCGUGAACUGUUUAGAAAGGAUGAGGAGGUGUGUCAUUGAGGAUGGUCUUUGAGUUUUCAAAAGCCCAUGCCAGACUCAGCUGCAUGUGAGUAGUGCUUAUGGACCAAAUGUAAGUUGUCAGCUAUUUUUCCAGUGCCAUGCCAUGCUUGCCUGCCUGCCACCAUGCUUCCUGCCAUAAUGAUCAUGGACUAAUCCUCUGAAAGUGUAAGCCAGACCCAAUUAAAUGCUUUAAGGUUGUUUUAGUUAUGGUGUCUCUUCACAACAACAGAACAGGAAUUAAAACAGCAAGCAAUCGAUGUCACCCAUCUACCAUGAUCAGCCCACAAUGCUUCAGCAGGAAAAUGACAAGUAAAAAAAAAUAUCAAGUCAAUACUGCUGUGGUGCCUUCUAAUCAAACAGCAUUAAGAGAAAGCAGUGCCUGUCCAUCAUCCCCAAUGCACAAUGACAUCCAGUCAUGAAACUGAACUGGUGAAUGCAGAAGAAAGGCCAGUGGCUAACUACUCAGCUGUACCUCGCCACACCAUCACUGCGGAGCAGUUCAUAUUCUGACCUUGAAUACAGAUCAACGAGAGAGAAGAGUGGAGACAUGUUUCACCAGAUGUGCUAACCAUAAUGCCUGGAGUAGCAGCUGACCACCUUCCAGAGGGAAACAACAGCUAAAGCUGGCUCCUCCUCCCCACCUGACUUAAUCGAAAGUAGCAGACAUUAAUAUAUUAGACAGUUGGUUGCC